RNAcentral lists this ribosomal RNA (423 nucleotides) under uncultured bacterium. RNAcentral's name for it is "bacterial SSU rRNA". It matches the Rfam family "Bacterial small subunit ribosomal RNA", at positions 207 to 622 of the family's 1533-position model. The record is from RNAcentral.
AAGACCUUGCGCUUUUGGAGCGGCCGAUGCCUGAUUAGCUUGUUGGUAAGGUAAAGGCUUACCAAGGCUUCGAUCAGUAGCUGGUCUGAGAGGACGGCCAGCCACACUGGGACUGAGACACGGCCCAGACUCCUACGGGAGGCAGCAGUGGGGAAUUUUGGACAAUGGGGGAAACCCUGAUCCAGCCAUGCCGCGUGAGUGAAGAAGGCCUUCGGGUUGUAAAGCUCUUUCAGCCGGAACGAAACGGUUACGGAUAAUACCCGUGACUACUGACGGUACCGGAAGAAGAAGCACCGGCUAACUACGUGCCAGCAGCCGCGGUAAUACGUAGGGUGCGAGCGUUAAUCGGAAUUACUGGGCGUAAAGCGUGCGCAGGUGGUUUUGUAAGUCAGAUGUGGAAGCCCCGGGCUCGACCUGGGAACU